CCGUUCUUGUGUUAUUUGCUGAAUUCGCAUUAUCGUUCAGUGAUCGUCAAAAAGAACGCAUAGUGACUCCCAAGCCAGUUUAUCACUCCACAUUGUUGAGCCUCAUUUUUCCAAGGUUGCUACAAUACUAACCCGCUGGUUACAAAC
Molecule: small nucleolar RNA, 147 nt
Organism: Drosophila sulfurigaster albostrigata
Lineage: Eukaryota; Metazoa; Arthropoda; Insecta; Diptera; Drosophilidae
Product: small nucleolar RNA psi18S-1377
Exons: 1
Source: RefSeq, a predicted model, not a curated record